UUGAGGAAGGAAGUCUUUGAGAGAAGACCAGUUACCGUUGGCCUGCAAUGGUAUUCUACUAAGUGUUGGAGCCUCGCUCAUAUCAGUCUGGAGAGUUGGGAACCUUUUGGGAAAUGGUGAAGUGGCGUAUUCCAUUAUCAUCAUAAUUGGGCGGAGAGAAAAUAACAAGAAGCAGAGUAUCGAGGACAGUUAGAUAACUAGGGAACAUGAAGCUAUGUUUAAGAAAGUGGAAAAUUUGUUGACAUCCAAAAGUAACCCGUCAAGUAUUCUGGUUGAACCUUGAUUCGCUGCAAUUGCCUAGGCAUCUAUCCAAGUGGUUCUAGCCGAAUUCAAGUAGCAGUCAGAAGAUUUGU
Molecule: long non-coding RNA, 353 nt
Filed under: Brassica napus (rape)
Lineage: Eukaryota; Viridiplantae; Streptophyta; Magnoliopsida; Brassicales; Brassicaceae
Description: long non-coding RNA (BNAP_LNC012841)
Source: RNAcentral